UGGGGAAUCUUGCACAAUGGAGGAAACCCUGAUGCAGCGACGCCGCGUGAACGAUGAAGCCCUUCGGGGUGUAAAGUUCUUUCGACAGGAACGAUAAUGACGGUACCUGGAGAAGAAGCUGCGGCUAACUACGUGCCAGCAGCCGCGGUAAUACGUAGGCAGCGAGCGUUGUUCGGAGUUACUGGGCGUAAAGAGUGCGUAGGCGGCGAGCCAAGUUUGGUGUGAAAUCUCCCGGCUUAACCGGGAGGGUGCGCCGAAAACUGGUUGGCUGGAGUAUGGGAGAGGAAAGCGGAAUUCCUGGUGUAGCGGUGAAAUGCGUAGAUAUCAGGAGGAACACCUGCGGUGUAGACAGCUUUCUGGACCAAAACUGACGCUGAGGCACGAAAGCGUGGGUAGCAAACA
This 402-nucleotide ribosomal RNA is filed under the name uncultured bacterium. Its description in RNAcentral is "bacterial SSU rRNA". It matches the Rfam family "Bacterial small subunit ribosomal RNA", at positions 355 to 774 of the family's 1533-position model. The record is from RNAcentral.